AUAUAUAUAUAUAUAUAUAACAUCUUUUAAAGUUUUAAACAUGUUUCUAAUAACUCUUACAAAUCAUAUCACACACAAAAAUUAUUUUAAUCCUCGUACAUUUGUUUUAUUUAAGUAUAGUCUAGUCAAUUUCCUGUACUUUGUCUUUCUAGAAAACAUUCUGUUUUUAUGUUACAGCCGUGUCCCGCAUUAAUUGGCAACCUCUUCCAUUAUUUCACAUUCACACAUACAUUAUCUUAACCUUUUCUUUUGUCUUUUUCCUUCUCUGAUAGCCAUAAGAACAUCAGAGUUUCUAGCCAAAUCUGCUUGGUGC
Molecule: long non-coding RNA, 313 nt
Filed under: Vigna radiata
Lineage: Eukaryota; Viridiplantae; Streptophyta; Magnoliopsida; Fabales; Fabaceae
Description: long non-coding RNA (VRAD_LNC003899)
Source: RNAcentral